AUGCGCAGCGCGGCGGCGGGGCGGCCGCGGCGCCGCGCGGGGGGAGCCGCGCAGCAGCCCCUGCCCCGAGCGAAGCACGGCGUGUAGGAAGGAGCGAGCGAGCGUGCGAGCGAGAGGGAGGGAGGGAGCGAGGGAGGGAGGAGGGAGGGAGGGAGCGAGGGAGGGAGCGAGGGAGGGAGGCAGGGGAGGAAGGACAGGGAGAGUGCGUGUGUGCGAGAGGGGGGAGAGGCAGGGGAAACUGCAGAGAGCGAGAAGAAAAGUGCGGUAGAAGCCCGGCCCCGGAGGAUCUCCUCCAAGAUUAAAGCUAGUCCUAAGAGCAACCGAAUUGCUGUGACUGACUUUCACGGGACUGUAAAGAGAGAUCGGCUCAAAAGUCCAAAGAGAAAUGAGGUGUCCGGUAUGGAAGUGCAUCUCAGUCAACCGCCAGCUCCUUUUGCCGAGGCUGGAAAUGGUUUUAACAGGCGCCUUGCAAAAGUGGAUGGCACAACAGGCUGGAAUGCUUGUGAAAGUGGAAUGUUUGUAAAAGUGGAGACCAUAAACAGUCGACGUGUAUUUCCAUCACACGCCAGAGGGAAAAAAAAUAAAGAAGAAAAGAAGAAAACAACCACAAACCUGUCAGCUGCCUAUAAAACUCCAGAAGAGAAGUGCUCUCAGUUUUACACUGGAGUUCUUGGUCCAGAGAGGACAAUAUACUCCUACCUCUUUUGAAAUGAUCCGGAGACUCACAACACACAGACAAUCACUCGAAGCACGAAUUUCCUUUUUUCCUUUCUUUUUUUCUUUCUUUCUUUUUUUUUUUUUUUCCAAGAACUGUUCGGCCCAUUGUUUGAACUGGGAUUCAGUGCAGAGCCCAAAGAGAAAAGGAAAAAAAAAUCCUGAGAGCCCAGUUUGGUAUUGCACAGAGAGUGAGCUGACAAAAUAUUAUAGCGUGUUUCCUAGAAGUACAUGGUGAGAGCCGGCGGUGUGUUCCCGAAAAGAGGUUGCUUUUUAUUUCCACCACCACCCCCCUCAAGAUUGUGAUCCUCUUUGUAUGUCUUUCUUUUGAUCCCACAAAGAGAAUGCAAUACACAUAUAUGUGUUUGCUCUCCAUACAAGAAAUGCCAUACAAUGGAAUAUGUGGCCGGUUAGUCCUCAUAAUGCUUAGUUUUGCUGUAAUUAAUUGAAAACAGUUAUUAGGUCGUCAUUGGCAAUAGCGUAAAUAAUUGCAGCAGAUUUUUACUUAAAAUUGACCGGUCAUAGAGUGAUAGAUCGAUUCGAGGUAUAAAAAUGAUGUAUCAAAACAUCAAUGUCGAUUAUUUGAAAUAUUGUAGUCGAAUCUUUUUAUUGCUUCAUCGGUUAAGUGUCUGAAAGUGCUGUGUUCCAACAUAUAUUUAUGUUGUCAAUACUGUCAAAACUGUCAGUUUUAUUACAGUGGAUUUGUAAUACAUUUCGGAUUUGCUCAUUUACAUAAAAUGUCCACCUCAGAUACCCCUCCUUUUCUCCAUCUCUGGAAAUCUGUGUCAGUUUAAUGAAAGGAUUCAAGACUCAUACCUGAAGAGGGGGGAAAAAAAGAAAAAGGAAAGGAGAAAAAAAAAAAAAAAGUAGGUGUUACUCCAUUAUGUCCAAUUUUAACAUCCGUUUGGAAAGCUUGGGCUAUUUCUGACUCGCCAAAAGAGGGAAUUCCUCCCCCCUUCCCCCUCCCUCCCCCAGCCCCGCUUAUUUCCCCAGUAGAAUUUAAAUACUUUUCUACUCUCACACCUAGAUUAAACCAUCCAGAAGAAUUGAGAAAUUGUACAGGGUUACAGUGAGGAGCCAAAGCACACCUGUGAGUGCCGCACCCUUCCCAAAGAGAGCAACAGCCCCCCGAACCACGCAUACACGCACAGGGUUUUGAAUCCUGCUAGAAAGAAGGAGACAAAAGGAGCAAUAAAUAUGUGUGUGAUCCUUUCCUAACGGUUUGG
Molecule: long non-coding RNA, 1940 nt
Organism: Lonchura striata (white-rumped munia)
Lineage: Eukaryota; Metazoa; Chordata; Aves; Passeriformes; Estrildidae
Source: Ensembl